GUGGGGAAUUUUGGACAAUGGGGGCAACCCUGAUCCAGCCAUGCCGCGUGAGUGAAGAAGGCCUUCGGGUUGUAAAGCUCUUUCAGCCGGAAAGAAAACGCACUUAUUAAUACUAGGUGUGGAUGACGGUACCGGAAGAAGAAGCACCGGCUAACUACGUGCCAGCAGCCGCGGUAAUACGUAGGGUGCGAGCGUUAAUCGGAAUUACUGGGCGUAAAGCGUGCGCAGGCGGUUUUGUAAGACAGGUGUGAAAUCCCCGGGCUUAACCUGGGAACUGCAUUUGUGACUGCAAGGCUAGAGUGUAGCAGAGGGGGGUAGAAUUCCACGUGUAGCAGUGAAAUGCGUAGAUAUGUGGAGGAAUACCGAUGGCGAAGGCAGCCCCCUGGGCUAACACUGACGCUCAUGCACGAAAGCGUGGGGAGCAAACAGGAUUAGAAACCCCAGUAGUCC
RNAcentral lists this ribosomal RNA (450 nucleotides) under uncultured bacterium. Its description in RNAcentral is "bacterial SSU rRNA". It matches the Rfam family "Bacterial small subunit ribosomal RNA", at positions 354 to 796 of the family's 1533-position model. The record is from RNAcentral.